Molecule: ribosomal RNA, 511 nt
Filed under: uncultured archaeon
Lineage: Archaea
Description: bacterial SSU rRNA
Rfam family: Archaeal small subunit ribosomal RNA
Source: RNAcentral
ACCUCUGCAAUAGGCGAAAGCCUGACAGGGUUACUCUGAGUGAUUCCCGCUAAGGGAAUCUUUUGGCAUCUCUAAAAAUGGUGCAGAAUAAGGGGUGGGCAAGUCUGGUGUCAGCCGCCGCGGUAAUACCAGCACCCCGAGUGGUCGGGACGAUUAUUGGGCCUAAAGCAUCCGUAGCCGGUCUUGCAAGUCUUCCGUUAAAUCCAGCUGCUUAACAGAUGGGCUGCGGAGGAUACUACAAGGCUAGGAGGCGGGAGAGGCAAGCGGUACUCAGUGGGUAGGGGUAAAAUCCUCUGAUCCAUUGAAGACCACCAGUGGCGAAGGCGGCUUGCCAGAACGCGCUCGACGGUGAGGGAUGAAAGCUGGGGGAGCAAACCGGAUUAGAUACCCGGGUAGUCCCAGCUGUAAACGAUGCAGACUCGGUGAUGGGCCGGCUUUAUGCCGGCUCAGUGCCGCAGGGAAGCCGUUAAGUCUGCCGCCUGGGGAGUACGGUCGCAAGACUGAAACUUAA